This 253-nucleotide ribosomal RNA is filed under the name uncultured bacterium. RNAcentral's name for it is "partial 16S ribosomal RNA". It matches the Rfam family "Bacterial small subunit ribosomal RNA", at positions 524 to 776 of the family's 1533-position model. The record is from RNAcentral.
UACGAAGGGGGCGAGCGUUGUUCGGAUUUACUGGGCGUAAAGGGCGCGCAGGCGGCGCAUUUUGUCAGGCGUGAAAGCCCCGGGCUUAACCUGGGAACUGCGUUUGAUACGGAUGGGCUAGAGUUCGGGAGAGGAGAGUGGAAUUCCCAGUGUAGAGGUGAAAUUCGUAGAUAUUGGGAAGAACACCGGUGGCGAAGGCGGCUCUCUGGGCCAUUACUGACGCUGAGGAGCGAAAGCGUGGGGAGCGAACAGG